GGGGAAUAUUGCACAAUGGGGGAAACCCUGAUGCAGCAACGCCGCGUGAGUGAAGAAGUAUUUCGGUAUGUAAAGCUCUAUCAGCAGGAAAGAAAAUGACGGUACCUGACUAAGAAGCCCCGGCUAACUACGUGCCAGCAGCCGCGGUAAAACGUAGGUCACAAGCGUUGUCCGGAAUUACUGGGUGUAAAGGGAGCGCAGGCGGGCGAUCAAGUUGGAAGUGAAAUCCAUGGGCUCAACCCAUGAACUGCUUUCAAAACUGGUCGUCUUGAGUAGUGCAGAGGUAGGCGGAAUUCCCGGUGUAGCGGUGGAAUGCGUAGAUAUCGGGAGGAACACCAGUGGCGAAGGCGGCCUACUGGGCACCAACUGACGCUGAGGCUCGAAAGUGUGGGUAGCAAACAGGAUUAGAUACCCUGGUAGUCCACACCGUAAACGAUGAUUACUAGGUGUUGGGAGAUUGACCCUCUCAGUGCCGCAGUUAACACAAUAAGUAAUCCACCUGGGGAGUACGACCGCAAGGUUGAAACUCAAAGGAAUUGACGGGGGCCCGCACAAGCAGUGGAGUAUGUGGUUUAAUUCGACGCAACGCGAAGAACCUUACCAAGUCUUGACAUCCCUUGACGAUGCUGGAAACAGUAUUUCUCUUCGGAGCAAGGAGACAGGUGGUGCAUGGUUGUCGUCAGCUCGUGUCGUGAGAUGUUGGGUUAAGUCCCGCAACGAGCGCAACCCUUAUCUUUAGUAGCCAGCAGUAAGAUGGGCACUCUAGAGAGACUGCCGGGGAUAACCCGGAGGAAGGUGGGGAUGACGUCAAAUCAUCAUGCCCCUUAUGACCAGGGCUACACACGUGCUACAAUGGCGUAAACAAAGAGAAGGGAAGUCGUGAGGCAGAGCGAAUCUCAAAAAUAACGUCUCAGUUCGGAUUGUAGUCUGCAACUCGACUACAUGAAGCUGGAAUCGCUAGUAAUCGCAGAUCAGAAUGCUGCGGUGAAUACGUUCCCG
Molecule: ribosomal RNA, 999 nt
Filed under: uncultured bacterium
Lineage: Bacteria
Description: bacterial SSU rRNA
Rfam family: Bacterial small subunit ribosomal RNA
Source: RNAcentral